UUAAGGUAGUUUGGUAAAAUGCCUUAUUCCAAUGGCCUAAGAUAAUAUCAAGCAACUCACUGGUUUACUUUUCUAACCAGCUGUGGUUAAGACACACACGGCAAUGUGCUAUCUUUCACAUGUUGGACGUUAAACCCAGACCAACUCCCCAAAUCUAAUUUGUUUCAGUAAUUUCUGAAUGCAUUGACCAAGAUAUUCCUUUCAUCUCUGGUUGAGUUUCUUCCAUUAGAAGGAAGGAUUAAACCUUGGAUAAAAGAUUUGCAGAUGCCCCAGUGGUUAGUAGAGGUGAAAAUGGAGGUUUCAGGGAAACUGCUGGGGCCUUUUGCCUUUGUCCUCAUCCAAAGCAUUUUGUGCCUCUCUUUCUUCUCCUCUGGCUGAAUAUCCACUGGAGAUUGAAUUCUCCGAAACUCCCUGUGUGGGUGAAGUGGGAAGCUGUGCCCAGGAAGGGGAGUAACUGUGCAAAGUUUUAUGCAGUCAGUGCCAGAAUUGGAUUACAUCACCUGGGGGAGGCGCCUUCAGGACCAGGAAAUGGUACAUGGAGCUUUGAGGUGAAAACUCAUCUUAGAAACCCACAAAAAGUCAUUCCCCCAGCCUGACAUCAGGGACAGACCACACCCAUGGGGCAGAAACCGGGCUUGGUUGUUGCAGUGGGAAGAGAAGGCACGACUCUGGUGCACCGAGCACCUUUCCUCGUGGCUGUUUCCAGGCACUGGGCUGGAUGUCCUCAGAACCCCCUGUCCCCUGCCCACUCCUCAAACCCUUACUGACCCACCCCUCUCGCCUGGUGCUGUCCCAGGCCCUGGGGGUGAGGGGGAGGGGACUCCAACGUGGGCUUGCCCUCCAGUGUGGUGGGAGGGAACCGCGUGGCCACUUGGCUUAGCCGUGCUCAUGGUGCAGACGUGGAACGCGGAGGCAGGGAGAGGCUCCGUGACGUCCCCAGGGCCCCAGAACGAGGAAGGAGCGGAGUUGGGAUUCCAGCCCAGUUGGACGCUGAAGUCCCUGUUUUGUUUACUGCCUCCUGUUCAUGGCGUAUGAAUGUAUCUGAGAUGCUUUGUAAGGCAUAAAGUGCAAUACUAGCUUAGUGGCUGUUCGUUCAGUGAUUCCUUCUGUUACCAAACAGGUGGCUGAGAUGAGAGGGCAACCCAAGCCUAACGCCCUUCAGUGGCCUUGCAUCAGAGUACUCGUGACAGGUACCUCUCCGUGGAGAGGGGCUGUCCUCUGCCCUUGCCUGCUCCUCCUAUUGCAACAGUCCUGUGGACUAGCUCAGGCUCUACAGGGGCUGGUGUGUGUGUGUGCGUGUAUGGUGUAUAUGUGUCUACCUACACACAAGCACAUGUGCACACAUGCACACACAUGCAUGCAAGCACACGCACACACACACAUGCACACACACUCACAUGGACACACACAUACACACACAUACACACACAUACAUGCACACACAUGCACAUGGACACACAUACAUGCACACACAUACAUGCAGGUGUGCAGACUUGGCUCCAGGCGUGUGUUUGAUAGUAUUAUUCUAUGAUAUUUCCCUCAUCUCCAUAGAAUACCAGCUUCUGAAUCCUCAAUCAGCCUUUACUGCAAGAAGAAAAGAAAAACCUCUCUCAUUCCAGGUCUGUGGUGCAGAUGGGAAGAGUAUAGUCAAAACCCAUUAAGGCCUUAGUCAAAUGCCAGCCGAAUUAGAACGCAAUGAACGUUAGACAAAACAACCCAACUGGCCAGGCGGGGGAGGCGCAGAGCGUAUAAAUAUAAAGUUAGAUACUUAUAAAGAAUAAAGACUCUAAUAAAAUAUUUUAUAUAAAACUUUUUA
Molecule: long non-coding RNA, 1816 nt
Filed under: Homo sapiens (human)
Lineage: Eukaryota; Metazoa; Chordata; Mammalia; Primates; Hominidae
Description: non-protein coding lnc-ABCG1-1:1
Source: RNAcentral